CGGUCGCAAGAUUAAAACUCAAAGGAAUUGACGGGGACCCGCACAAGCGGUGGAUGAUGUGGAUUAAUUCGAUGCAACGCGAAAAACCUUACCUACCCUUGACAUGGAUGGAAUCCUGAAGAGAUUUGGGAGUGCUCGAAAGAGAACCAUCACACAGGUGCUGCAUGGCUGUCGUCAGCUCGUGUCGUGAGAUGUUGGGUUAAGUCCCGCAACGAGCGCAACCCUUGUCAUUAGUUGCUACGAAAGGGCACUCUAAUGAGACUGCCGGUGACAAACCGGAGGAAGGUGGGGAUGACGUCAAGUCCUCAUGGCCCUUAUGGGUAGGGCUUCACACGUCAUACAAUGGUACAUACAGAGGGCCGCCAACCCGCGAGGGGGAGCUAAUCCCAGAAAGUGUAUCGUAGUCCGGAUUGGAGUCCGCAACUCGACUCCAUGAAGUUGGAAUCGCUAGUAAUCGCGGAUCAGCAUGUCGCGGUGAAUACGUUCCCGGGUCUUGUACACAC
This 503-nucleotide ribosomal RNA is filed under the name uncultured bacterium. Its description in RNAcentral is "bacterial SSU rRNA". It matches the Rfam family "Bacterial small subunit ribosomal RNA", at positions 883 to 1390 of the family's 1533-position model. The record is from RNAcentral.